GUAGGUGGCAAGCGUUGUCCGGAAUUAUUGGGCGUAAAGCGCGCGCAGGCGGUGCUUUAAGUCUGAUGUGAAAGCCCACGGCUCAACCGUGGAGGGUCAUUGGAAACUGGAGAACUUGAGUACAGAAGAGGAAGGCGGAAUUCCACGUGUAGCGGUGAAAUGCGUAGAGAUGUGGAGGAACACCAGUGGCGAAGGCGGCUUUCUGGUCUGUAACUGACGCUGAGGCGCGAAAGCGUGGGGGAGCAAACAGGAUUAGAUACCCUGGUAGUCCACGCCGUAAACGAUGAGUGCUAAGUGUUAGGGGGUUUCCGCCCCUUAGUGCUGCAGCUAACGCAUUAAGCACUCCGCCUGGGAGUACGGCCGCAAGGCUG
This 371-nucleotide ribosomal RNA is filed under the name uncultured organism. RNAcentral describes it as "partial 16S ribosomal RNA". It matches the Rfam family "Bacterial small subunit ribosomal RNA", at positions 527 to 896 of the family's 1533-position model. The record is from RNAcentral.